This 430-nucleotide ribosomal RNA is filed under the name uncultured bacterium. RNAcentral describes it as "bacterial SSU rRNA". It matches the Rfam family "Bacterial small subunit ribosomal RNA", at positions 355 to 776 of the family's 1533-position model. The record is from RNAcentral.
UGGGGAAUAUUGCACAAUGGGCGCAAGCCUGAUGCAGCAACGCCGCGUGGGUGAAGAAGGCCCUUGGGUCGUAAAGCCCUUUCGAUGGGAAAGAAGGGAUCACUGGUAAAUAAUCAGUGGUUUUGACGGUACCUAGAGAAGAAGCACCGGCCAAUUUCGUGCCAGCAGCCGCGGUAAUACGAGAGGUGCAAGCGUUGUUCGGAAUUAUUGGGCGUAAAGAGCACGUAGGCGGGCUCGCAUGUCAAUUGUGAAAUACCUGGGCUUAACCUGGGAAUUGCAGUUGAAACUACGAGUCUUGAAUACCUGAGAGGGUGGGGGAAUUCCUGGUGGAGAAGUGAAAUUCGUAGAGAUCAGGAGGAACACCGGAGGCGAAGGCGCCUGCCUGGCAGUGUAUUGACGCUAAGGUGCGAAAGCGUGGGGAGCAAACAGG